This is an RNA transcript of Lycium ferocissimum, 4200 nucleotides long. It is a transcript of the gene named spliceosome-associated protein 130 A, with no coding region annotated. The record is from RefSeq and is a predicted model, not a curated record. The transcript has 5 exons. Lineage: Eukaryota; Viridiplantae; Streptophyta; Magnoliopsida; Solanales; Solanaceae.
CUCACCUCCAUUUUUCACACGCACACACUCGCACUCUCCUCUAGGGUUUAAGCAAAAAGCACUUCAUUUCCCAAUCUACUCCUCAAAAAACCCUAAAUCCCCAAAUUUGAACUAGGGUUUUACCACAAUGUAUCUCUACAGUUUAACUCUCCAAAAACCCACCGGAAUACUCUGCGCCAUCAACGGCAGUUUCUCCGGCGGAAAAUUACAAGAAAUCGUCGUGGCACGUGGCAAAGUAUUAGACCUAAUCCGACCCGAUGAUAACGGUAAGCUUCAAACCUUAUUAUCCGUUGAAAUAUUCGGAUCUAUACGUUCUUUAGCUCAAUUUCGGUUAACAGGUGCACAAAAAGAUUAUAUCGUAGUCGGGUCGGAUUCGGGUCGGAUAGUUAUAUUAGAAUAUAAUAAAGAAAAGAACUGUUUUGAUAAAGUACAUCAGGAGACUUUUGGGAAAUCAGGUUGUAGACGGAUAGUUCCGGGUCAGUAUUUGGGUAUUGACCCGAAAGGUAGAGCUGUUAUGAUUGGUGCUUGUGAGAAACAGAAAUUAGUUUAUGUAUUGAAUAGGGAUACUGCUGCUAGGUUAACGAUUUCGUCGCCAUUAGAAGCACAUAAGAGCCAUACGAUUACGUUUUCGAUAUGUGGGGUUGAUUGUGGUUUUGAUAACCCGAUAUUCGCUGCGAUUGAGCUGGAUUACGCGGAGGCGGAUCAAGAUCCGACGGGUCAAGCUGCGAACGAGGCGCAGAAGCAUUUGACGUUUUAUGAGUUGGAUUUGGGGCUUAAUCAUGUUUCGAGGAAGUGGUCUGAGCAGGUUGAUAAUGGUGCGAAUUUGCUCGUGACGGUUCCCGGUGGUGGGGAUGGUCCGAGUGGUGUGCUUGUUUGUGCGGAGAAUUUUGUUAUUUAUAAGAAUCAGGGACAUCCUGAUGUUCGGGCUGUUAUUCCGAGGAGGGUAGAUUUGCCAGCGGAACGUGGGGUUUUGAUUGUUUCGGCUGCUAUGCAUAAGCAGAAGUCGAUGUUUUUCUUUCUUCUGCAAACCGAGUAUGGAGAUAUUUUUAAGGUGACGUUGGAUCAUGAUAAUGACAGGGUUAAGGAGUUAAAGAUCAAGUAUUUUGAUACGAUUCCGGUCAGUUCUUCUCUGUGUGUGAUGAAGUCGGGGUUUCUGUUUGCUUCGUCAGAGUUUGGGAAUCAUGCGUUGUAUCAGUUUCAGGCGAUAGGAGAUGACCCGGAUGUCGAAGCUUCAUCAUCGACGUUAAUGGAAACUGAAGAAGGUUUUCAGCCUGUAUUUUUCCAGCCAAGAAAGCUGAAGAAUCUUGUUAGGAUCGAUCAGGUUGAGAGCUUGAUGCCAAUCAUGGAUAUGAAAAUUGUGAAUCUUUUCGAGGAGGAAACUCCACAAAUAUUUUCGCUUUGUGGGAGGGGUCCUCGGUCUUCAUUGCGCAUACUUAGGCCAGGUUUAGCUGUUAGUGAAAUGGCUGUGUCACAGCUUCCUGGUGUUCCAAGUGCUGUCUGGACUGUGAAAAAGAAUGUUAAUGAUGAGUUUGAUGCCUACAUUGUUGUCUCUUUCGCGAAUGCAACUCUUGUGCUUUCUAUUGGUGAGACAGUUGAAGAAGUUAGUGACAGUGGGUUUCUUGAUACUACUCCAUCUCUUGCUGUUUCAUUGAUCGGUGAUGAUUCGUUGAUGCAAGUUCAUCCCAGUGGAAUAAGGCAUAUUAGAGAAGAUGGUCGUAUUAAUGAAUGGAGAACUCCUGGAAAGAGAACUAUUGUCAAGGUUGGAUCGAAUAGACUUCAAGUGGUAAUUGCACUAAGUGGAGGGGAGCUGAUAUAUUUUGAAGUGGAUAUGACUGGCCAGUUGAUGGAAGUCGAGAAGCAUGAGAUGUCAGGUGAUGUAGCUUGUCUGGACAUUGCCCCUGUUCCUGAGGGAAGACAAAGGUCCCGUUUCCUUGCAGUUGGAUCAUAUGAUAACACUAUUCGUAUCUUGUCGUUGGACCCUGACGACUGUAUGCAGGUUCUGAGCCUUCAAAGUGUAUCUUCACCGCCAGAGUCUCUCCUUUUUCUUGAAGUUCAGGCCUCUGUUGGUGGAGAGGAUGGUGCAGAUCACCCUGCCAGCCUUUUCCUUAAUGCUGGUUUACAAAAUGGGGUUUUAUUCAGGACUGUGGUGGAUAUGAUAACUGGGCAGCUUUCAGAUGCACGUUCACGUUUCUUGGGGCUUAGGGCCCCUAAGCUCUUUUCCAUUGUUGUAAGAGGACGGCGUGCUAUGCUCUGUUUGUCAAGUAGACCAUGGCUAGGUUAUAUACACCAAGGACAUUUUCUUUUGACACCUUUGUCAUAUGAGACUCUAGAAUUUGCAGCCUCGUUUUCAUCCGAUCAAUGUGCAGAAGGUGUGGUAGCGGUUGCUGGGGAUGCAUUGAGGGUCUUCACGAUAGAGAGAUUGGGUGAGACUUUCAAUGAAACAGCUAUACCUUUAAGGUAUACACCAAGAAGGUUUGUUCUUCAACCCAAACGGAAGAUGGUGAUAAUGAUUGAGAGUGACCAGGGAGCAUAUACUGCAGAAGAGCGUGAAGCUGCCAAAAAAGAGUGCUUCGAGACAGCUGGGAAUGGUGAAAAUGGAAAUGCAGAACAAAUGGAGAAUGGCGAAGAUGAGGAUGGUAAUGAUCCACUAUCUGAUGAACAAUAUGGUUAUCCUAAAUCGGAAUCGGGAAGAUGGGUUUCCUGUAUCAGAGUCCUUGAUCCAAGGACAACACAAACCACUUGUCUGCUAGAGCUUCAGGAUAAUGAGGCUGCAUUUAGCAUAUGCACUGUUAAUUUCCAUGACAAGGAGCAUGGAGCUCUGUUAGCUGUUGGUACUGCCAAGGGCCUUCAGUUUUGGCCCAAAAAGUCGUUCGAAGCAGCAUACAUUCAUAUAUACAAAUUUAAAGAAGAUGGGAAGGUCCUAGAGCUUUUGCACAAGACACAGGUAGAUGGUGUGCCUCUUGCACUAUGUCAGUUCCAAGGAAGGUUACUGGCUGGUAUUGGGUCUGUCCUUAGGUUGUAUGAUUUGGGGAAGAAAAGACUGCUCCGAAAAUGUGAGAACAAGCUAUUCCCCAACUCAAUCACAGCUAUCCAUACCUAUCGUGAUCGGAUUUAUGUUGGUGACAUGCAAGAGUCAUUCCACUACUGUAAGUAUAGACGUGACGAAAAUCAACUGUACAUAUUUGCUGAUGACACGGUUCCGAGAUGGCUAACAGCAGCACAGCAUGUAGAUUUUGACACUGUGGCUGGAGCUGAUAAGUUCGGGAAUAUCUACUUUGUGCGAUUACCUCAGGACGUCUCAGAUGAGAUCGAAGAAGAUCCUACUGGUGGAAAAAUAAAAUGGGAGCAGGGGAAGCUGAAUGGUGCCCCAAACAAGGUUGAGGAGAUAGUGCAAUUUCAUGUUGGUGAUGUGGUCUCUUGCUUGCAAAGGGCAUCACUUAUUCCAGGAGGGGGCGAAUGCAUAAUCUACGGUACUGUGAUGGGAAGCGUCGGGGCAAUGCUUCCAUUUACCUCGAGGGAUGACGUUGACUUCUUCUCUCAUUUGGAGAUGCAUCUGAGGCAGGAGUUCCCACCUUUAUGUGGCAGGGAUCACAUGGCCUAUAGAUCUGCCUACUUCCCCGUUAAGGAUGUGAUAGAUGGAGACUUGUGUGAACAGUUCCCAACCUUGCCUAUGGAUAUGCAGCGCAAAAUUGCAGAUGAGUUGGAUAGGACACCAGGCGAGAUUCUGAAAAAGCUUGAAGAAAUAAGAAACAAAAUCAUUUGAGAACAUGUUUAGGCGAAGGUAAGUCUGCAUCCUUCGACUAAUCCACCAAGUACUUGUGACCUUCUAUCCACACGUGUUAAGUAACUUUUUCCACCAAGACAUAGACAGGUGAUGGUUUUAGUCUUAAUCAAUUUAAGGGACACGUCAUGUGGCAUAAGAGGAGCAUGCUGCAGAGAGCUAUGGAAGUUUCAUCUGAUUUGAGCUUAUGUGGAUGCAAGAGAAGGGAGGCCAGCAUGUAAUCCAAGCUAUGUUCACUACAGAAGUAGUUGAAAAGGCGUGGAAUUAAUUAUCGCCAGCUUCUCUGUUGUAAUUAUGCUGUAGCCUAGUCUUUUCAACUGAUUCUUGUAGCAAAUUACCGGUUAACUUAAUUGUGUAUUUCCAGUUUGUUUCUGAGAAAUGUGGUCACACAAUGCAGAGGUUGAAUGACUUGCUUUAAA